RNAcentral lists this ribosomal RNA (253 nucleotides) under uncultured bacterium. RNAcentral's name for it is "partial 16S ribosomal RNA". It matches the Rfam family "Bacterial small subunit ribosomal RNA", at positions 524 to 776 of the family's 1533-position model. The record is from RNAcentral.
UACAGAGGGGGCAAGCGUUGUUCGGAAUUACUGGGCGUAAAGGGCGCGUAGGCGGCCUGUUAAGUCGAACGUGAAAUCCCCGGGCUCAACCCGGGAACUGCGUCCGAUACUGGCAGGCUUGAAUCCGGGAGAGGGAUGCGGAAUUCCAGGUGUAGCGGUGAAAUGCGUAGAUAUCUGGAGGAACACCGGUGGCGAAGGCGGCAUCCUGGACCGGCAUUGACGCUGAGGCGCGAAAGCGUGGGGAGCGAACAGG